UUUAGGUGAUGAAUGCCAUUUUUUGGUCCGUGUUUAUGAUAUCAUGUGAUUAUAUUUUGAUUUGAAUGUUCUGAUAAA
Cimex lectularius (bed bug) is the source of this 78-nucleotide small nucleolar RNA. RefSeq annotates it as small nucleolar RNA SNORD18. The record is from RefSeq and is a predicted model, not a curated record. The transcript has a single exon. Lineage: Eukaryota; Metazoa; Arthropoda; Insecta; Hemiptera; Cimicidae.